CUUGACAACAUAUAAGAGGUCCAGCCUGCCCAGUGACCUAGUUCAACGGCCGCGGUAUCCUAACCGUGCGAAGGUAGCGUAAUCACUUGUUCUUUAAAUGAGGACUAGUAUGAAUGGCACCACGAGGGUUAAACUGUCUCCUUUUUUUAAUCAGUGAAACUAAUCUCCCCGUGAAGAAGCGGGGAUUCUUUUAUAAGACGAGAAGACCCUAUGGAGCUUUAAACAAGUUAACACCUGCUACUAAUCUUCACUUUCCUGAACCACCACAUUAAGUAUAGCACCUCUGAUUAACAGUUUUCGAUUGGGGUGAUCAUGGAGCAAAAAUUAACCUCCACGACGAAAAGGAACACCUCCUUGAGCCAAAAGCUACAACUUUAAGCACUAAAAAACUAACGCACUUUGACCCAAUUCUUUGAGCAACGAAC
RNAcentral lists this ribosomal RNA (425 nucleotides) under Boana raniceps (Chaco treefrog). Its description in RNAcentral is "partial large subunit ribosomal RNA". It matches the Rfam family "Bacterial large subunit ribosomal RNA", at positions 1834 to 2457 of the family's 2925-position model. Lineage: Eukaryota; Metazoa; Chordata; Amphibia; Anura; Hylidae. RNAcentral also lists the same sequence under 1 other name. The record is from RNAcentral.